This 644-nucleotide long non-coding RNA is filed under the name Homo sapiens (human). Its description in RNAcentral is "non-protein coding PSMG3-AS1:16". The record is from RNAcentral. Lineage: Eukaryota; Metazoa; Chordata; Mammalia; Primates; Hominidae.
UUUGGCACCGAGUGUCCGCCAGGCAUCGCUCUAAGCGCUUUAUACCCAUAACUCACUUCAUCUCAGCCACCCGGUUCCGUAGAAGCGUUUCAUCCGCGUUUUACAGACGUGUGCAGGAAAGAUUCUGAAGCUUGGCGGAGAGGGGUGUGUGAGUGGACACCAGUGAAGUAACGGUUUUUGUGUUACGAUGAUUUCUGUUUUCCUCUGCUGCCCUGUAAUGGCAGGAACUCGGAUAGUCUGGUCUUCAGACCAGGAGGACUCCCAGGAGAGAACGGAGAGCCAGUGUGCUGUGUGUCACGGUCCCUGGAUGAACGUUUGUGGAACUGGAUUGAAUUAAACAAGACGUGCAAAGCAAGUGGUUCACGAGAUUCGAUUGCUGUAGGGACCCCGUGGGUGUGGAAUCAGACAGUAUUGGUCCUUUCAUGACUGGCUUAUUUCACAAAACCCGAUGCCGUCGAGGUCCAUCCAUGCUGAGGCAGGUGUCUGACUCCCUUCACUCUGUUUGGCUGAGCAGUAUCCCAUGGUGUGGAUUCCCGUGGUGUGGAUUCCCGUGGUGUGGAUUCCCGUGGUGUGGAUGGAGCACACUGUGCUCAUUCACUUGCCUGUCGGUGGGCACGUGGGCAGCUCCCAUCUCUCAGCUCCUG